GGAAUAUUGGGCAAUGGGCGAAAGCCUGACCCAGCAACGCCGCGUGAGUGAAGAAGGCCUUCGGGUUGUAAAGCUCUGUUAUAGGGGACGAAGGAAGUGACGGUACCCUGUAAGGAAGCCCCGGCUAACUACGUGCCAGCAGCCGCGGUAAUACGUAGGGGGCGAGCGUUGUCCGGAAUGACUGGGCGUAAAGGGCGUGUAGGCGGCUUUUUAAGUCUGGAGUGAAAGUCCUGCAUUUAAUGUGGGAAUUGCUUUGGAUACUGGAGAGCUUGAGUGCAGAAGAGGUAAGCGGAAUUCCCAGUGUAGCGGUGAAAUGCGUAGAGAUUGGGAGGAACACCAGUGGCGAAGGCGGCUUACUGGGCUGUAACUGACGCUGAGGCGCGAAAGCGUGGGGAGCGAACA
This 402-nucleotide ribosomal RNA is filed under the name uncultured bacterium. RNAcentral describes it as "bacterial SSU rRNA". It matches the Rfam family "Bacterial small subunit ribosomal RNA", at positions 358 to 774 of the family's 1533-position model. The record is from RNAcentral.